GACGAACGCUGGCGGCGCGCCUAACACAUGCAAGUCGAACGAGCGAGAGAGAGCUUGCUUUCUUGAGCGAGUGGCGAACGGGUGAGUAACGCGUGAGGAACCUGCCUCAAAGAGGGGGACAACAGUUGGAAACGACUGCUAAUACCGCAUAAGCCCACGGUGCCGCAUGGCACAUAGGGAAAAGGAGCAAUCCGCUUUGAGAUGGCCUCGCGUCCGAUUAGCUAGUUGGUGAGGUAACGGCCCACCAAGGCGACGAUCGGUAGCCGGACUGAGAGGUUGAACGGCCACAUUGGGACUGAGACACGGACCAGACUCGUACGGGAGGCAGCAGUGGGGAAUAUUGCACAAUGGGGGAAACCCUGAUGCAGCGACGCCGCGUGGAGGAAGAAGGUCUUCGGAUUGUAAACUCCUGUUGUUGGGGAAGAUAAUGACGGUACCCAACAAGGAAGUGACGGCUAACUACGUG
This 466-nucleotide ribosomal RNA is filed under the name uncultured bacterium. RNAcentral's name for it is "partial 16S ribosomal RNA". It matches the Rfam family "Bacterial small subunit ribosomal RNA", at positions 28 to 507 of the family's 1533-position model. The record is from RNAcentral.